UUUAUGGAGAGUUUGAUCCUGGCUCAGGAUGAACGCUGGCGGCGUGCCUAAUACAUGCAAGUCGAGCGAACGGACGAGAAGCUUGCUUCUCUGAUGUUAGCGGCGGACGGGUGAGUAACACGUGGAUAACCUACCUAUAAGACUGGGAUAACUUCGGGAAACCGGAGCUAAUACCGGAUAAUAUUUUGAACCGCAUGGUUCAAAAGUGAAAGACGGUCUUGCUGUCACUUAUAGAUGGAUCCGCGCUGCAUUAGCUAGUUGGUAAGGUAACGGCUUACCAAGGCAACGAUGCAUAGCCGACCUGAGAGGGUGAUCGGCCACACUGGAACUGAGACACGGUCCAGACUCCUACGGGAGGCAGCAGUAGGGAAUCUUCCGCAAUGGGCGAAAGCCUGACGGAGCAACGCCGCGUGAGUGAUGAAGGUCUUCGGAUCGUAAAACUCUGUUAUUAGGGAAGAACAUAUGUGUAAGUAACUGUGCACAUCUUGACGGUACCUAAUCAGAAAGCCACGGCUAACUACGUGCCAGCAGCCGCGGUAAUACGUAGGUGGCAAGCGUUAUCCGGAAUUAUUGGGCGUAAAGCGCGCGUAGGCGGUUUUUUAAGUCUGAUGUGAAAGCCCACGGCUCAACCGUGGAGGGUCAUUGGAAACUGGAAAACUUGAGUGCAGAAGAGGAAAGUGGAAUUCCAUGUGUAGCGGUGAAAUGCGCAGAGAUAUGGAGGAACACCAGUGGCGAAGGCGACUUUCUGGUCUGUAACUGACGCUGAUGUGCGAAAGCGUGGGGAUCAAACAGGAUUAGAUACCCUGGUAGUCCACGCCGUAAACGAUGAGUGC
RNAcentral lists this ribosomal RNA (833 nucleotides) under Staphylococcus aureus. RNAcentral's name for it is "bacterial SSU rRNA". It matches the Rfam family "Bacterial small subunit ribosomal RNA", at positions 1 to 816 of the family's 1533-position model. Lineage: Bacteria; Bacillati; Bacillota; Bacilli; Caryophanales; Staphylococcaceae. The record is from RNAcentral.